UAUGGAAGGCAGCAGUGGGGAAUAUUGCACAAUGGGCGCAAGCCUGAUGCAGCCAUGCCGCGUGUAUGAAGAAAGCCUUCGGGUUGUAAAGUACUUUCAGUCGUGAGGAAGGUGUUAAGGUUAAUAACCUUAGCAAUUGACGUUAGCGACAGAAGAAGCACCGGCUAACUCCGUGCCAGCAGCCGCGGUAAUACGGAGGGUGCGAGCGUUAAUCGGAAUUACUGGGCGUAAAGGGCACGCAGGCGGUUAAUUAAGUUGGAUGUGAAAUCCCCGGGCUUAACCUGGGAAUGGCAUUCAAGACUGGUUAGCUAGAGUCUUGUAGAGGGGGUAGAAUUCCAUGUGUAGCGGUGAAAUGCGUAGAGAUGUGGAGGAAUACCGGUGGCGAAGGCGGCCCCUGGGACAAAGACUGACGCUCAUGUGCGAAAGCGUGGGGAGCAAACAGGGAUUAGAUACC
This 454-nucleotide ribosomal RNA is filed under the name uncultured bacterium. Its description in RNAcentral is "bacterial SSU rRNA". It matches the Rfam family "Bacterial small subunit ribosomal RNA", at positions 340 to 786 of the family's 1533-position model. The record is from RNAcentral.